Molecule: long non-coding RNA, 495 nt
Filed under: Malus domestica (apple)
Lineage: Eukaryota; Viridiplantae; Streptophyta; Magnoliopsida; Rosales; Rosaceae
Description: long non-coding RNA (MDOM_LNC002026)
Source: RNAcentral
AUUAAAAAUUCGGAAAAUUUAAAAAAAUCCAAAAAUAUUGUCUUGUUUCCCUUAUUGUUUUGAAUUAGAUUUUUGUUAGUUUCCCGACCCAAUGAUAUAAUUGGAUGAAGAACUUAGUUAACAUGUAUUUUGUGAAAUUCCUAAUUCUCUUGUUAGUUUUGUACAUGUUUGACCAUCUUUGAAAAACUAAAUGCACAUAGCCUUGUUGAUGUGAAACUAAAGCAUGACUUAAAGCUUCAUAUGUGAAUUUAGUGACCAUAUAUAUCCUAUGUGAGUUUUUGAGCCUAUUGAAAGUGUGUGCAUUUUUCAUACACUCCUAUUCUUUCAUGUGUGAUGAACUUAUGUGAGAUACAUCUCUAGAACUUGCGUAACGAUCUUUCGAAAUGUUUGUCAUUGAUUGCAUGAACUUGGAAAUGAUAGAGGCAUUAGGUUUACCACUAUGGCCCAAAUAACCAUGUUUCCCAAAGAAAAAUGAUAUCAUUAGAUUGCCAAUUU